This 466-nucleotide ribosomal RNA is filed under the name uncultured bacterium. RNAcentral describes it as "partial 16S ribosomal RNA". It matches the Rfam family "Bacterial small subunit ribosomal RNA", at positions 28 to 507 of the family's 1533-position model. The record is from RNAcentral.
GAUGAACGCUGGCGGCGUGCUUAACACAUGCAAGUCGAACGGAAAGGCCCAAGCUUGCUUGGGUACUCGAGUGGCGAACGGGUGAGUAACACGUGGGUGAUCUGCCCUGCACUUCGGGAUAAGCCUGGGAAACUGGGUCUAAUACCGGAUAGGACCACAUUUUGGAUGGUGUGGUGGAAAGUUUUUCGGUGUGGGAUGAGCUCGCGGCCUAUCAGCUUGUUGGUGGGGUAAUGGCCUACCAAGGCGUCGACGGGUAGCCGGCCUGAGAGGGUGUACGGCCACAUUGGGACUGAGAUACGGCCCAGACGCCGACGGGAGGAAGCAGGGGGGAAUAUUGCACAAGGGGCGCAAGCCUGAUGCAGCGACGCCGCGUGGGGGAUGACGGCCUUCGGGUUGUAAACUCCUUUCGCUAGGGACGAAGCGUUAUGUGACGGUACCUGGAGAAGAAGCACCGGCUAACUACGUG